RNAcentral lists this non-coding RNA (291 nucleotides) under Amborella trichopoda. RNAcentral describes it as "Bacterial small subunit ribosomal RNA". It matches the Rfam family "Bacterial small subunit ribosomal RNA", at positions 567 to 839 of the family's 1533-position model. The record is from Rfam by way of RNAcentral. Lineage: Eukaryota; Viridiplantae; Streptophyta; Magnoliopsida; Amborellales; Amborellaceae.
GGCUUUUAUGCAACUUCAAAUUUGUAGGUGGCUUUUCAAAUCGGCCUUUUAAAUCCCAGGGCUCAACCAUGGACAAGCGGUGGGAACUACUAAAGUUGGAGUACGAUAGGAGCAGAGGGAAUUUGCCGUGAAGUAGUGAAAUGAUUAGAGAUAAAAAAGAACACCAACAGCGAAAUCACUCCGCUGGGCCGACACUGACAUUAAGAGACGAAAGCUAGGGAGCAAAUGGGAUUAGACACCCCAGUAGUCCCAGCCAUUUAGGGUGCUUUAUUUGCUCAAAAAAAGGCUUUG